GUGGGGAAUUUUGGGCAAUGGGCGAAAGCCUGACCCAGCGACGCCGUGUGAGGGAUGAAGGCUCUCGGGUCGUAAACCUCUGUCAGGGGGGACGAACGCUUCCCGGUGAAUAGCCGGGGAGUCUGACGGUACCCCCAAAGGAAGCGCCGGCUAACUCCGUGCCAGCAGCCGCGGUAAUACGGAGGGCGCAAGCGUUGUUCGGAAUCACUGGGCGUAAAGCGCGUGUAGGCGGUCGGGAAAGUCGGGUGUGAAAGCCCCGAGCUCAACUCGGGAAUGGCACCCGAAACUUCUCGGCUAGAGUCCCGGAGAGGAGGGCGGAAUUCCCGGUGUAGGGGUGAAAUCCGUAGAUAUCGGGAGGAACACCUGAGGCGAAGGCGGCUCUCUGGACGGUGACUGACGCUGAGACGCGAAAGCGUGGGGAGCAAACAGG
This 430-nucleotide ribosomal RNA is filed under the name uncultured bacterium. RNAcentral's name for it is "bacterial SSU rRNA". It matches the Rfam family "Bacterial small subunit ribosomal RNA", at positions 354 to 776 of the family's 1533-position model. The record is from RNAcentral.